UAGUCGGUUGGAUCUUGCGUCCUUAAAGAGUCGGUGGCUUUCUUUUCGCGCGCGUAUGCCUUUACGGGUGUGCGUGUGAGUGGGGAAGUCAUCGCUCCAAGUCCACCGCUUACUGGUUAUUUUGCGUAUGGGUGCUUCGUUGUUUGUGCGUGAGCGCGCUCUGUCUCUCGCGGGGUCUCUUUCUCGUUUGCUGGGAUUCGUCUUAGUACGCGGGUGGGGGCUUUGCUUGAGUAUUGCGUGUUUGCGUAUACGUGGCGUUGUAUUUGUGCGUGAAGGUCAGUAAAACUCUUCUUAGAGGGAUUCACGGUUCUGAAGCCGUAAGAAACUGAGAGCAAUAACAGGUCUGUGAUGCCCUUAGAUGUUCUGGGCCGCACGCGCGCUACAAUGCCGUGCACAGCAUGUGUUUUUCCUUCUCCGAGAGGAGUGGGUAACCAUCUGAAAGCACUGACAAUUAAUGAUAAUAGCGUACUCACGUACGUCUUCCAUCGCCGGCUUGCUUGGGCCUGGGGCUUGCAAUUCUUUCCCACAAACGAGGAAUGCCUAGUAGCGGCGGGUCACUGAGCCUGCCUUGACUCAGUCCCUGCCCUUUGUACACACCGCCCGUCGCUACUACCGAUUGGGUGUACCAGUGAGAUCCUUGGACUGGCGAACCUUGUAAAGCGUGCAUUUAUGUACGAAUGAGCAAGCGUGACCCGACGGAAAAGAGGCUCGAAC
This 714-nucleotide ribosomal RNA is filed under the name Acanthonotozoma inflatum. RNAcentral describes it as "partial small subunit ribosomal RNA". It matches the Rfam family "Eukaryotic small subunit ribosomal RNA", at positions 1356 to 1764 of the family's 1831-position model. Lineage: Eukaryota; Metazoa; Arthropoda; Malacostraca; Amphipoda; Acanthonotozomatidae. The record is from RNAcentral.